CUAAGGCUCCAGAGGAAGCCACGGCUAACUCUGUGCCAGCAGCCGCGGUAAUACAGAGGCGGCAAGCGUUGUUCGGAAUUAUUGGGCGUAAAGAGCACGUAGGCGGCCUUGCAAGUCAGUUGUGAAAGCCUUCCGCUUAACGGAAGAAUGCCAGCUGAUACUACAGGGCUUGAGUACGGGAGGGGAGAGUGGAACUUCUGGUGGAGCGGUGAGAUGCGUAGAUAUCAGAAGGAACGCCGGCGGCGAAAGCGACUCUCUGGCCCGAAACUGACGCUGAGUGUGCGAAAGCUAGGGGAGCAAGCGGGAUUAGAUACCCCGGUAGUCCUAGCCGUAAA
Molecule: ribosomal RNA, 335 nt
Filed under: uncultured Planctomycetales bacterium
Lineage: Bacteria; Pseudomonadati; Planctomycetota; Planctomycetia; Planctomycetales
Description: bacterial SSU rRNA
Rfam family: Bacterial small subunit ribosomal RNA
Source: RNAcentral